GCAGCACUGUGCUGGACCUGCCAGCUUUUCUGUUGUAUAAAGAUUUCUUCUUUAAAUGACAGGAAAUGUGAUUUCCCCAAAUAUUUAUCUUAAUUCUAUGCCAUUAUUUCUUUAUUCCUAGGUUCCAAAAGCAUGAAGAUUUGCGUUUCACAAUCUAUGCAGGAAGGCUGAGUUGAUAUAUUGGUUGCAAAUGAAGAAAAGCACGUGUGGAUCUUCCUCGGACAAAAAGAAAAAGAGGAAACCGCCUGAUGAAAACAGAGCCAAAACACCAGCCUUGCCAGAAACCAGGUGAAAAUGCAUAAAUAACCCAGCCUGUCUAUAGGUUUUGCCUUCUGAAACCACGGAAAGGAGCAGGAUCCGGCCUCACUGCUCAAGGCUGAGUCCUCCUGGCGUACUGCAGACACUGUGCUUUCAGGCUGCCUGCUCUGAAAUGGAGACGUUUUUCCUCUUUAAGAACCAAGA
Molecule: long non-coding RNA, 462 nt
Organism: Cairina moschata (Muscovy duck)
Lineage: Eukaryota; Metazoa; Chordata; Aves; Anseriformes; Anatidae
Source: Ensembl